UACGGGGGGGGCAAGCGUUGUUCGGAAUUACUGGGCGUAAAGGGCGCGUAGGCGGUGUGUCAAGUCAGGCGUGAAAGCCCCGGGCUCAACCUGGGAACCGCGCUUGAGACUGGCACGCUCGAGUUCGGGAGAGGAUGGUGGAAUUCCCAGUGUAGAGGUGAAAUUCGUAGAUAUUGGGAAGAACACCGAUGGCGAAGGCAGCCAUCUGGACCGACACUGACGCUGAGGCGCGAAAGCGUGGGGAGCAAACAGG
Molecule: ribosomal RNA, 253 nt
Filed under: uncultured bacterium
Lineage: Bacteria
Description: partial 16S ribosomal RNA
Rfam family: Bacterial small subunit ribosomal RNA
Source: RNAcentral